This 49-nucleotide ribosomal RNA is filed under the name uncultured Tomentella. RNAcentral's name for it is "partial 28S ribsomal RNA". Lineage: Eukaryota; Fungi; Basidiomycota; Agaricomycetes; Thelephorales; Thelephoraceae. The record is from RNAcentral.
GAUCUCAAAUCAGGUAGGACUACCCGCUGAACUUAAGCAUAUCAAUAAG